Molecule: ribosomal RNA, 462 nt
Filed under: uncultured bacterium
Lineage: Bacteria
Description: SSU rRNA
Rfam family: Bacterial small subunit ribosomal RNA
Source: RNAcentral
AGGACGAACGCUUGCGGCGUGCCUAAGAAAUGCAAGUCGAGCGGGGAGCAAUCCCAGCGGCGAACGGUCGCGUAACACGUAAGCAACCUGCCCGAAAGACCGGGAUAACGUUUCGAAAGAGGCGCUAAUACCGGAUGUGGCCACCGAGAGAUAUCUUUUGGUGAUUAAAUCAUUUAUGGCUUUCGGAGGGGCUUGCGGCCUAUCAGCUAGAUGGCGAGGUAACGGCUCACCAUGGCGUCGACGGGUAGCUGGUCUGAGAGGAUGGUCAGCCGGACUGGGACUGAGAUACGGCCCAGACUCCUACGGGGGGCAGCAAUUAGGAAUCUUGCGCAAUGGGCGAAAGCCUGACGCAGCGACGCCGCGUGGAGGAGGAAGGCCUUCGGGUUGUAAACUCCUUUUAGGUGGGAGAAACAAUGACGGUACCACCAGAAUAAGCCCGGCUAACUCCGUGCCAGCAGCCGC